Molecule: long non-coding RNA, 591 nt
Filed under: Pan troglodytes (chimpanzee)
Lineage: Eukaryota; Metazoa; Chordata; Mammalia; Primates; Hominidae
Description: long non-coding RNA NONPTRT007698
Source: RNAcentral
AACAAAGAAGACAGAAAAUCCUACCAGAAUUGACUGAAAAGUUGAGUGAGGGGCAGGAAAGAAAAAGAGGUGGCAAAGGUAGCAACAACUAUGUUCUGCUCCAGAAAGCAUAAGCCACAGCCCCCACCACAGUGCUUGGCAAUGCGGUUGCUGUUUAAUACCUGCUGACUGAGUGGAAGGAAGACAAGACAAUUACCUGACUCAAAGAGAAGCAAAAGAAUGCUGCCUUCAAGCUGAGGGGAAGACUGAACUGUCCGUUUCUUUCUGCUCUAAAGUGUCCUCUGGAGAGGACGCUGGCGGAGCUGGUGCUCUCGUGGUGGCAGGCCACCACCCUGUGGAGGUGUCCAUGCAUUGCAAGUGCUCGCAAGCUCCAGGAACAAACGCAUCCGCGCAGCCGUCUGGGGUUUGUCCCGUCGCUGCCAGCCGUCUCGCUGAGUCCCCGCCCUCGCCGAUAAGAGCCCACUUAGGACCCCCAUUACAUGGAUGACUUCCCAGGACCUGCCCUUAAAGACUCUGAUUUAGUAGGUUGGAAAUGACGCAAUUAUUUUUAUUUUUAAUUAGUACCCCAAGUCAUUCUUUACCAUCAAGGAA